GCAUAUCAAUAAGCGGAGGAAAAGAAACCAACAGGGAUUGCCUCAGUAACGGCGAGUGAAGCGGCAAGAGCUCAAAUUUGAAAGCUGGCCCCCCUCGGGGUCCGCAUUGUAAUUUGCAGAGGAUGCUUCGGGAGUGGCCCCCAUCUAAGUGCUCUGGAACGGGCCGUCAUAGAGGGUGAGAAUCCCGUAUGGGAUGGGGUGUCCGCGACCAUGUGAAGCUCCUUCGACGAGUCGAGUUGUUUGGGAAUGCAGCUCUAAAUGGGUGGUAAAUUUCAUCUAAAGCUAAAUAUUGGCCGGAGACCGAUAGCGCACAAGUAGAGUGAUCGAAAGAUGAAAAGCACUUUGAAAAGAGAGUUAAAAAGCACGUGAAAUUGUUGAAAGGGAAGCGCUUGCGACCAGACUCGCCUACGGGGUUCAGCCGGUAUUCGUACCGGUGUACUUCCCCGUGGGCGGGCCAGCGUCGGUUUGGGCGGCCGGUCAAAGGCCCUCGGAAUGUAACGCCUCUCGGGGCGUCUUAUAGCCGAGGGUGCCAUGCGGCCAGCCCGGACCGAGGAACGCGCUUCGGCACGGACGCUGGCAUAAUGGUCGUAAGCGACCCGUCUUGAAACACGGACCAAGGAGUCUAACAUCUACGCGAGUGUUCGGGUGUCAAACCCGUGCGCGCAGUGAAAGCGAACGGAGGUGGGAACCCUCACGGGUGCACCAUCGACCGAUCCUGAUGUCUUCGGAUGGAUUUGAGUAAGAGCGUAGCUGUUGGGACCCGAAAGAUGGUGAACUAUGCCUGAAUAGGGCGAAGCCAGAGGAAACUCUGGUGGAGGCUCGCAGCGGUUCUGACGUGCAAAUCGAUCGUCAAAUUUGGGUAUAGGGGGCGAAAGACUAAUCGAACCAUCUAGUAGCUGGUUCCUGCCGAAG
RNAcentral lists this ribosomal RNA (912 nucleotides) under Penicillium velutinum. RNAcentral describes it as "LSU rRNA". It matches the Rfam family "Eukaryotic large subunit ribosomal RNA", at positions 38 to 966 of the family's 3401-position model. The record is from RNAcentral. Lineage: Eukaryota; Fungi; Ascomycota; Eurotiomycetes; Eurotiales; Aspergillaceae.